GAUGAACGCUGGCGGCGUGCCUAAUACAUGCAAGUCGAGCGAACGGACGAGAAGCUUGCUUCUCUGAUGUUAGCGGCGGACGGGUGAGUAACACGUGGAUAACCUACCUAUAAGACUGGGAUAACUUCGGGAAACCGUAGCUAAUACCGGAUAAUAUUUUGAACCGCAUGGUUCAAAAGUGAAAGACGGUCUUGCUGUCACUUAUAGAUGGAUCCGCGCUGCAUUAGCUAGUUGGUAAGGUAACGGCUUACCAAGGCAACGAUGCAUAGCCGACCUGAGAGGGUGAUCGGCCACACUGGAACUGAGACACGGUCCAGAAUCCUACGGGAGGCAGCAGUAGGGAAUCUUCCGCAAUGGGCGAAAGCCUGACGGAGCAACGCCGCGUGAGUGAUGAAGGUCUUCGGAUCGUAAAACUCUGUUAUUAGGGAAGAACAUAUGUGUAAGUAACUGUGCACAUCUUGACGGUACCUAAGCAGAAAGCCACGGCUAACUACGU
This 496-nucleotide ribosomal RNA is filed under the name uncultured bacterium. RNAcentral describes it as "partial 16S ribosomal RNA". It matches the Rfam family "Bacterial small subunit ribosomal RNA", at positions 28 to 506 of the family's 1533-position model. The record is from RNAcentral.